AGUAACAGCAGUUUUUAAUUUCCAGGCAGUCAGUGAGUGAUGAUAAACUCCAUCAGCUGGUGCUCACUGCUUUUCCCCACACUUCCCUUCGGUAUGCCGGUGUCACUCUUAGCUGUGUUGGCUUGAUUUUUCAACAGCUGGUGCCAGCUUUUUCACCAAAACCACCUGAGCAACGCUGUGGUUUUUGUAGUGCAGGGACUGAGUCAGCUACACAUUUCCUGGUUCUAUUUGGAGUUUGGAUUUCUCUGAAAGGCAUUCAGACAUAAAUUCCGCUUGCCUUUUCCAUCAUCUGAUUUUCUAGCUGAUAUCAUUGGGCUGCAGAAGAAACGAACAACUGGGGAUCUGUCCAAGAAAAUCACAGGUUUUCCUGAGUGUGCAAACUUUGUACCUACCAAAUGUAAUGGUUCUGUAACAGACAAAAGUCGGUCCUCUCUUUGGACUUGACUGUGAAAUGGCUGCACAGGCUGCACUCCCACCAGCAGCGCAGAGGGCUCUCUUUCGCCGCCUCCUCACCGGCACUGGCUUGUGGAUUUGAUGAUGGUCGCCACUCUGACCGUUGUGAGGGGAUAUCUCAUCGUGGUCUUAAUUUGCAUCUCUCUGAUUAAUGACGGUAUCUUAUAUGUGUGUUAACCAUCUGUAUAUUCUCCUUGGAGAAUUGUCUAUUCCUGUCUUUCGCCCAUUUUUAAAUUGGAUUGUUUAUUUUGGUGAUGUUUUAUAAUUUUAUAAAUUUUGGCUAUUAAUCCCUUAUCAGAUAUAUCAUUGAUGCAUAUGUUCUCCCAUUGUGGGUUGACUUUUCAUUUUGUGGAUGAUUUCCUUUGCUGAGUAAGAACUCUUUAGUUUGAUGCGUGCAUUCCUGCCAGAAGCACAGCGCACCUCUAGACCAGGCUGCCCA
This is a long non-coding RNA of Myotis daubentonii (Daubenton's bat), 892 nucleotides long. RefSeq lists it as uncharacterized. NCBI's taxonomy places the organism in Eukaryota, Metazoa, Chordata, Mammalia, Chiroptera, Vespertilionidae. The record is from RefSeq and is a predicted model, not a curated record.